RNAcentral lists this ribosomal RNA (460 nucleotides) under uncultured bacterium. RNAcentral describes it as "partial 16S ribosomal RNA". It matches the Rfam family "Bacterial small subunit ribosomal RNA", at positions 338 to 795 of the family's 1533-position model. The record is from RNAcentral.
CCUACGGGGGGCAGCAGUGAGGAAUAUUGGUCAAUGGACGCAAGUCUGAACCAGCCAUGCCGCGUGCAGGAAGACGGCUCUAUGAGUUGUAAACUGCUUUUGUACGAGGGUAAACGCAGAUACGCGUAUCUGUCUGAAAGUAUCGUACGAAUAAGGAUCGGCUAACUCCGGGCCAGCAGCCGCGGUAAUACGGAGGAUUCAAGCGUUAUCCGGAUUUAGUGGGUUUAAAGGGUGCGUAGGCGGUAGGAUAAGUUAGAGGUGAAAUCCCGAGGCUCAACUUCGGAAUUGCCUCUGAUACUGUUCGGCUAGAGAGUAGUUGCGGUAGGCGGAAUGUAUGGUGUAGCGGUGAAAUGCUUAGAGAUCAUACAGAACACCGAUUGCGAAGGCAGAUUACCAAGCUACUUCUGACGUUGAGGCACGAAAGCGUGGGGAGCAAACAGGAUUAGAUACCCCUGUAGUC